RNAcentral lists this ribosomal RNA (253 nucleotides) under uncultured bacterium. RNAcentral describes it as "partial 16S ribosomal RNA". It matches the Rfam family "Bacterial small subunit ribosomal RNA", at positions 524 to 776 of the family's 1533-position model. The record is from RNAcentral.
UACGUAGGUGACCAGCGUUGUCCGGAUUUACUGGGCGUAAAGAGCGCGCAGGCGGUCGUUCAAGUCGAGUGUGAAAGCCCCCGGCUCAACUGGGGAGGGUCACUCGAUACUGAUCGACUUGAAGGCAGGAGAGGGAAGCGGAAUUCCCGGUGUAGUGGUGGAAUGCGCAGAUAUCAGGAGGAACACCGGUGGCGAAGGCGGGAUCCUGGGCCAGUACUGACGCUGAGGAGCGAAAGCGUGGGGAGCAAACAGG